AGCAGCCGCGGUAAUUCCAGCUCCAAUAGCGUAUAUUAAAGUUGUUGCAGUUAAAAAGCUCGUAGUUGAAUUUCGAGAUCGGUUUAUUGGUCGUGCUAUUGUACGUACUGGUAUUACCGGUUUCUCCUUUCUGACGAACCUUAAUGCCAUUAAUUUGGUGUUUUGGGAAAUCAGGACUGUUACUUUGAAAAAAUUAGAGUGUUUAAAGCAGGCUCACGCUUGAAUACAUUAGCAUGGAAUAACGGAAUAGGACGUUUGAUUCUAUUUUGUUGGUUUCUAGGAUCGACGUAAUGAUUAAUAGGGAUAGUUGGGGGCAUUAGUAUUCAAUUGUCAGAGGUGAAAUUCUUGGAUUUAUUGAAGACUAACUACUGCGAAAGCAUUUGCCAAGGAUGUUUUCAUUAAUCAAGAACGAAAGUUAGGGGAUCGAAGACGAUCAGAUACCGUCGUAGUCUUAACCAUAAACUAUGCCGACUAGGGAUCGGAUGAUGUUAAUUUUUAAUGACUCAUUCGGCGCCUU
This 517-nucleotide ribosomal RNA is filed under the name uncultured Glomus. Its description in RNAcentral is "SSU rRNA". It matches the Rfam family "Eukaryotic small subunit ribosomal RNA", at positions 569 to 1089 of the family's 1831-position model. The record is from RNAcentral. Lineage: Eukaryota; Fungi; Glomeromycota; Glomeromycetes; Glomerales; Glomeraceae.